UACGUAGGGGGCAAGCGUUGUCCGGAAUCAUUGGGCGUAAAGCGCGUGUAGGCGGCCCGAUAAGUCCGCUGUGAAAGUCCAGGGCUCAACCCUGGAAUGCCGGUGGAUACUGUCGGGCUCGAGUCCGGAAGAGGCGAGUGGAAUUCCUGGUGUAGCGGUGGAAUGCGCAGAUAUCAGGAAGAACACCAACGGCGAAGGCAGCUCGCUGGGACGGAACUGACGCUAAGGCGCGAAAGCGUGGGGAGCGAACAGG
Molecule: ribosomal RNA, 253 nt
Filed under: uncultured bacterium
Lineage: Bacteria
Description: partial 16S ribosomal RNA
Rfam family: Bacterial small subunit ribosomal RNA
Source: RNAcentral